CACAAACUGUCAGACAGGAAGCCGAACCUCGUUGUAUACAUAAACAGCGUAAAAUAUUUGGUAAAGUUACUGUUGAAAUUCGUAUGUAACGCCCUUUGUGUGAGCGUGUGGGUUUGCCUGCCUGUCUCUCUGUCUGUCUGUCAAUUUGGCUCUUCUAUUAUUCGAUAUAUCGCCGGCCAACGAACAAAGCCAACGACCGCGUCACUCUUCUAGCUCUCUUUCUUCCACAAUCUCCCAACUUUACUCUCUCUCGCGAGCGCUCUUUCUCUGAGGCCUUUUGAUUUUGUUCAAGAUGAACGACCUGCUUACGGAUUCAUUUGUUGGUGAUGCAAGAGCUCAGCCUUCUGGAACAAAUGAUAUCGAACUGGGAAGGCCAGUUCAUAGCAGUUUUGACACGGGAAUGGA
Molecule: non-coding RNA, 405 nt
Organism: Prunus avium (sweet cherry)
Lineage: Eukaryota; Viridiplantae; Streptophyta; Magnoliopsida; Rosales; Rosaceae
Source: RefSeq, a predicted model, not a curated record